AUUGAACGCUGGCGGCAUGCCUUACACAUGCAAGUCGAACGGUAACAGGUUAAGCUGACGAGUGGCGAACGGGUGAGUAAUACAUCGGAACGAGCCCAGUAGUGGGGGAUAGCCCGGCGAAAGCCGGAUUAAUACCGCAUACGACCUAAGGGCGAAAGGGGGGGAUCGCAAGACCUCUCGCUAUUGGAGCGGCCGAUGUCAGAUUAGCUAGUUGGUGGGGUAAAAGCUCACCAAGGCAACGAUCUGUAGCCGGUCUGAGAGGAGGACCAGCCACACUGAGACUGAGACACGGCCCAGACUCCUACGGGAGGCAGCAGUGGGGAAUUUUGGACAAUGGGCGCAAGCCUGAUCCAGCCAUGCCGCGGGCGGGAAGAAGGCCUUCGGGUUGUAAACCGCUUUUGUCAGGGAAGAAAUCCUUUGGGUUAAUACCUCGGGGGGAUGACGGUACCUGAAGAAUAAGCACCGGCUAACUACGU
RNAcentral lists this ribosomal RNA (476 nucleotides) under uncultured bacterium. Its description in RNAcentral is "partial 16S ribosomal RNA". It matches the Rfam family "Bacterial small subunit ribosomal RNA", at positions 30 to 506 of the family's 1533-position model. The record is from RNAcentral.